CUGGACAUGGCUCAAAUGGUAGAGCAUUUGCCUAGCAAGUGUGAGGUCUUGAGUUCAAACCCCAAUAUCAACA
RNAcentral lists this transfer RNA (73 nucleotides) under Dipodomys ordii (Ord's kangaroo rat). It matches the Rfam family "tRNA". Rfam says of the family: Transfer RNA (tRNA) molecules are approximately 80 nucleotides in length. The record is from Rfam by way of RNAcentral. Lineage: Eukaryota; Metazoa; Chordata; Mammalia; Rodentia; Heteromyidae.